UGACACUAUCCUACUUGGAUAACUGUGGUAAUUCUAGAGCUAAUACAUGCAUUAAAGCUCUGACCUCACGGGAAGAGUGCACUUAUUAGACCAAAACCAAGCGGCUUCGGCUGUUUCUGGUUGACUCAUAGUAAUUGAGCUGAUCGCACGGUCUUGCACCGGCGACGUGUCUUUCAAGUAUCUGCCGUAUCAACUUUCGAUGGUAGUGUAUCUGACUACCAUGGUGAUCACGCGUAACGGAGAAUAAGGGUUCGACUCCGGAGAGUUCGCCUGAGAAAUCGCGAACACAUCUAAGGAAGGCAGCAGGCGCGAAAAUUACCCACUCUCAGCACGAGGAGGUAGUGACGAAAAAUAACGAGACCGUUCUCUUAUGAGGCCGGUCAUCGGAAUGGGUACAAUUUAAACCCUUUAACGAGUAUCUAUGAGAGGGCAAGUCUGGUGCCAGCAGCCGCGGUAAUUCCAGCUCUCAAAGUGCAUAGAAUUAUUGCUGCGGUUAAAAAGCUCGUAGUUGGAUCUGUGCCAUAGGACGGGGUCUACCUUCGGGUACGCACUUCGCUCCUAGGCUUUUUGCUGGUUUUCCCGUCGUAGCCUUCACUGGUUGCGGCGGGUGGCUGGCGAGUUUACUUUGAGAAAAUCAGAGUGCUCAACACAGGCGUAUAGCUUGAAUGAUUGUGCAUGGAAUAAUAGAAAAGGAUUUCGGUCCUCUUUUAUUGGUUUUGUGGACUGAGAUAAUGGUUAACAGGGACAAACGGGGGCAUUCGUAUCGCUGCGUGAGAGGUGAAAUUCUUGGACCGUAGCGAGACGCCCUACUGCGAAAGCAUUUGCCAAGAAUGUCUUCAUUAAUCAAGAACGAAAGUCAGAGGUUCGAAGG
RNAcentral lists this ribosomal RNA (871 nucleotides) under Acrobeloides sp. RNAcentral's name for it is "SSU rRNA". It matches the Rfam family "Eukaryotic small subunit ribosomal RNA", at positions 122 to 1004 of the family's 1831-position model. Lineage: Eukaryota; Metazoa; Nematoda; Chromadorea; Rhabditida; Cephalobidae. The record is from RNAcentral.